RNAcentral lists this ribosomal RNA (253 nucleotides) under uncultured bacterium. RNAcentral describes it as "partial 16S ribosomal RNA". It matches the Rfam family "Bacterial small subunit ribosomal RNA", at positions 524 to 776 of the family's 1533-position model. The record is from RNAcentral.
UACGGGGGGGGCAAGCGUUGUUCGGAAUUACUGGGCGUAAAGGGCUCGUAGGCGGCCAACUAAGUCAGACGUGAAAUCCCUCGGCUUAACCGGGGAACUGCAUCUGAUACUGGAUGGCUUGAGUUUGGGAGAGGGAUGCGGAAUUCCAGGUGUAGCGGUGAAAUGCGUAGAUAUCUGGAGGAACACCGGUGGCGAAGGCGGCAUCCUGGACCAACACUGACGCUGAGGAGCGAAAGCGUGGGGAGCGAUCCGG